RNAcentral lists this ribosomal RNA (464 nucleotides) under Plasmodium sp. ex Foulehaio carunculata. RNAcentral's name for it is "bacterial SSU rRNA". It matches the Rfam family "Eukaryotic small subunit ribosomal RNA", at positions 1352 to 1639 of the family's 1831-position model. Lineage: Eukaryota; Apicomplexa; Aconoidasida; Haemosporida; Plasmodiidae. The record is from RNAcentral.
CAAUUAGCGGUAAAUACAACAUAUUCUUAAGUAAAUAAGAAUAUAGAUAAAAAUAACAAAUAAGAGAAAAUAUUAGGAUGUUAUUAUAUAUAAUGUCCUUUUCCCUUUUCUUCUUAUUUUGUUUUUUUUAUUCUAUUUCUUUUUUUACUUAAGAAUGUAUUUACUUGAUUGUAAAGCUUCUUAGAGGAACAUUGUGUGUCUAACACAAGGAAGUUUAAGGCAACAACAGGUCUGUGAUGUCCUUAGAUGAACUAGGCUGCACGCGUGCUACACUGAUAUAUAUAACGAGUUAUUAAAAAUAUAUCUGUGUAUAUAUGUAUUUUAUAUAUAUAUACAAAAGGUAUAAUUUUCCUCCACUGAAAAGUGUAGGUAAUCUUUAUCAAUAUAUAUCGUGAUGGGGAUAGAUUAUUGCAAUUAUUAAUCUUGAACGAGGAAUGCCUAGUAAGCAUGAUUCAUCAGAUUGU